Molecule: ribosomal RNA, 364 nt
Filed under: uncultured bacterium
Lineage: Bacteria
Description: partial 16S ribosomal RNA
Rfam family: Bacterial small subunit ribosomal RNA
Source: RNAcentral
CCUACGGGUGGCUGCAGUGAGGAAUAUUGGUCAAUGGACGCAAGUCUGAACCAGCCAUGCCGCGUGCAGGAUGACGGCUCUAUGAGUUGUAAACUUCUUUUGUACGAGGGUAAACCCCGAUACGUGUAUCUGUUUGAAUGUACCGUACGAAUAAGGAUCGGCUAACUCCGUGCCAGCCGCCGCGGUAAUACGGAGGAUCCGAGCGUUAUCCGGAUUUAUUGGGUUUAAAGGGUGCGUAGGUGGUUUGGUAAGUUAGUGGUGAAAUGUCGGGGCUCAACCCCAAAAUUGCCUCUAAUACUGUUGGACUAGAGAAUAGUUGGGGUAGGCGGAAUGUAUGGUGUAGCGGUGAAAUGCUUAGAGAUCA